Molecule: ribosomal RNA, 468 nt
Filed under: uncultured bacterium
Lineage: Bacteria
Description: partial 16S ribosomal RNA
Rfam family: Bacterial small subunit ribosomal RNA (bases 58-468)
Source: RNAcentral
GGGGGGGGGGGGGGGGGGGGGGGGGGCGGGGGGGGGGAGGGGGAAGGCGGUGCUGGGGGGGGGGGCUGGAGUGGCGAACGGGUGGGGAACAGGUGAGUAACCUGCCCUUGACUUUGGGGUAACUGCAGGAAACUGGGGCUAAUACCGGAUAGGAGCUCCUGCGGCGUGGGGGGGGUUGGUAAGGUUCUGCGGUUGGGGCUGGACUCGCGGCUUAUCAGCUUGGUGGUGGGGUAGUGGCUUACCAAGGCUUUGACGGGUAGCCGGCCGGAGAGGGUGACCGGCCACAUUGGGACUGAGAUACGGCCCAGACUCCUACGGGAGGCAGCAGUGGGGAAUAUUGCACAAUGGGCGGAAGCCUGAUGCAGCAACGCCGCGUGCGGGAUGACGGCCUUCGGGUUGUAAACCGCUUUCGCCUGUGACGAAGCGUGAGUGACGGUAAUGGGUAAAGAAGCACCGGCUAACUACGUG